Molecule: ribosomal RNA, 253 nt
Filed under: uncultured bacterium
Lineage: Bacteria
Description: partial 16S ribosomal RNA
Rfam family: Bacterial small subunit ribosomal RNA
Source: RNAcentral
UACGUAGGGGGCAAGCGUUGUCCGGAUUCAUUGGGCGUAAAGAGCGUGUAGGCGGCCAGGUAGGUCGGUUGUGAAAACUGGAGGCUCAACCUUCAGAGGUCGACCGAAACCAUCUGGCUAGAGUCCGGGAGAGGAGAGUGGAAUUCCUGGUGUAGCGGUGAAAUGCGCAGAUAUCAGGAAGAACACCCGUGGCGAAAGCGGCUCUCUGGACCACAACUGACGCUGAGGCGCGAAAGCUAGGGGAGCAAACAGG